Rattus norvegicus (Norway rat) is the source of this 130-nucleotide small nucleolar RNA. Ensembl annotates it as small nucleolar RNA SNORA17. The record is from Ensembl. Lineage: Eukaryota; Metazoa; Chordata; Mammalia; Rodentia; Muridae.
CCUGCCCUUAUAAGGAUUGCAGGUGUGGCUGCUGUGUCACACAUGUAUCAGUAGGUACUCAGAAGGAGAGAGGCUAUGUCUACGCUCAUUGUUCUGACUUAUGAACCUGUAUGAUUAGUAGCCUAAUAUU